Molecule: ribosomal RNA, 497 nt
Filed under: uncultured bacterium
Lineage: Bacteria
Description: partial 16S ribosomal RNA
Rfam family: Bacterial small subunit ribosomal RNA
Source: RNAcentral
GAUGAACGCUGGCGGCGUGCCUAAUACACGCAAGUCGAGCGAACGGACGAGAAGCUUGCUUCUCUGAUGUUAGCGGCGGACGGGUGAGUAACACGUGGAUAACCUACCUAUAAGACUGGGAUAACUUCGGGAAACCGGAGCUAAUACCGGAUGAUAUUUUGAACCGCAUGGUUCAAAAGUGAAAGACGGUCUUGCUGUCACUUAUAGAUGGAUCCGCGCUGCAUUAGCUAGUUGGUAAGGUAACCGCUUACCAAGGCAACGAUGCAUAGCCGACCUGAGAGGGUGAUCGGCCACACUGGAACUGAGACACGGUCCAGACUCCUACGGGAGGCAGCAGUAGGGAAUCUUCCGCAAUGGGCGAAAGCCUGACGGAGCAACGCCGCGUGAGUGAUGAAGGUCUUCGGAUCGUAAAACUCUGUUAUUAGGGAAGAACAUAUGUGUAAGUAACUGUGCACAUCUUGACGGUACCUAAUCAGAAAGCCACGGCUAACUACGUG